CAGAAAUAGAAAAAAUGCUUGAGCUUCGUUCAAAAAAAACUGUUAAAAAAAAAAACACAGAUUCACCAACUGAUCACGCCAGGAAGCGCAACAAUUGCGGAUCGAGGAGAGGUUCUGCCCCAUUAUCACAAAAGAAAGAGCUUUCUUCAAUGGGAGUUAUUUCAUUCUCUGCAACCGUAAUUCCUCCCAUUCCACUGUCAAAUUCUUCUCCAUUUCCUUUCAAAUCAACUCUCUUCUCUUCCUUUCUGCUCUGUUAAAACCUUAAUGCUCAACGCCCUUAAAUCCUCACUUCCAUCUACUAGUGUUUAUGCUGCUUAAGAAGUGUUGAAAUCCCUAGAAAUCCUCGUUGGGUUUGAAUCCACAACCUUUAAGUUUAUCAAUCAGCAGAUGCAAAUUAACACUAAUUGUCGAUGGUUUAGUUGAAGGUUCUGAGACUCCGAAUACUUCGUCGCUCAUCUGCGGUGCAGAUUUAGACAAGUGACUACUCUGUUGAGCUAUCUGAUUCUGCAAUGAUCUUCCGAAGGUAUCACCUUUUAUUAUCAUCCAAGGAUGCCAGGCCUCAACAUUUUUAGCUUGUUGCAAAGAAAGCUUCUGGGCUGUUUGCAGUGGACAUUCAUCCCGGGGCACAGGCCAUGGAGCAGAGGCUUGUACUCGGGAACUUUCUGUCUGUGGGGUUUGUGGAGACCGGUUUAUUAUCGUGAGGCCUGACCUGAUACCGACCUGGCCCACAAGGAUUCGUUAUGAUUUUUUUAGUGGAUUUUUAAUGAGGCUUGUGCCAUGGAGCUCAGAAUUGGGCUAAUAGACAGAAAGUUUGCAGUGGACAUUCAUCCCGGGGUGAAGAGUCGACGUGGGAUUCUACUUGAUCAUGCGACGGGGGUUGCGAUCAGAGAGGCGGUGGUGAUAGGCAAUAAUGUGUCAAUUUUCCAUAACGUGACUUUGGGAGGGACUGGCAAGGAUAAUGGGGACAGGCACCCAACGAUUGGAGAUGUGGUGUUGAUAGGAGCAGGGACCAAUGUGUUAGGGAAUGUGAAAACUGGGGAGGGUGCCAAGAUUGGCGCUGGUUCGGUGGUGUUGAAGGAAGUGACAUCAAGAACUACUGCAGUUGCCCUGCUACAUUGGUUCGAGGCAAGGCCAAUGAUCAUAUUCCUAGUUACCAUACUUCACACGAGUGGUCUGAUUAUGUCUAAAAGGGUACCGUAGUAUGUAUGUAAGAGAGGGUUAAUAGAGAGAGAGCACAAUCCUCUUUUAGACUUCAGUACUCCACGUACGUGCUAUCAUUACUAAUUCAAUUUGUUUUGAAGCAAUCUUACUGCUGUUGCAAAUUCGAGGCAAUUCAAUGAAGCAUUGCACAACCAAUUGGUCAGCUGUGCAAAUCCUUUUUCACUAUAGUGUUUUGGGAUUAGGUUCUCUCAAAUCUUUAGGUACCCUCUAUUCCCAGACUGCUUCUAUCUGCAUUCCAGUAGCUAACUUCCUCUAGCACCUUCAAUGGAAUUUAAGCUCAUCACUCGCCGUAAGAGAUUUAAGGGAGAGAUCAUAUAUCAAUGGAGUGUGAUAUAAUGGCAGCGAUAUUUGCUGGGAUAAUGUAAUAUAGUCGUUCUUUGAAAGGGUUUAUCCAAGGAUGCCUGCUCAAUGAGGUAUCAUUCUUAGACAUGUUUUAGGGAAUUCCUACGCCAAUUAAUGCUGGUGUCAUUGUUAGCUGCAAUUACAUUGAAAGCUGUGGAUUGAAAUCUUAUAGCAAGUAUUCGGUUUCCAAAUCAUUUUACAUGCAGGAUUAAUAAAGGAAGCAACGUGAACAAGCAGCAACAAUCCCAAAGAUUAGUUAUGAUCCAACAAAUUGAAAUUCUGAAAUGCCCUAUGUGGGUUACUAUUGUUGUCAUGAUAUAUCUGCAAAUUGCAAUCUCCUUUUCGAG
Long non-coding RNA from Carya illinoinensis, 1910 nucleotides. RefSeq lists it as uncharacterized. The record is from RefSeq and is a predicted model, not a curated record. The transcript is spliced from 3 exons. NCBI's taxonomy places the organism in Eukaryota, Viridiplantae, Streptophyta, Magnoliopsida, Fagales, Juglandaceae.